ACUCCUACGGGAGGCAGCAGUGGGGAAUAUUGGACAAUGGGGGCAACCCUGAUCCAGCAAUGCCGCGUGCGUGAAGAAGGCCUGAGGGUUGUAAAGCACUUUCAAUCGUGAAGAAGGGUAUCAAUUUAAUAAAUUGGUACAUUGACGUUAACGAUAGAAGAAGCACCGGCUAACUCUGUGCCUGCAGCCGCGGUAAUACAGAGGGUGCAAGCGUUAAUCGGAAUUACUGGGCGUAAAGCGCGCGUAGGUGGUUUGAUAAGUUGGAUGUGAAAUCCCCGGGCUUAACCUGGGUCGGUCAUUCAAAACUGUCAGACUAGAGUAUGGUAGAGGGUAGUGGAAUUUCUAGUGUAGCGGUGAAAUGCGUAGAUAUUAGAAGGAACACCAGUGGCGAAGGCGACUGCCUGGACUGAUACUGACACUGAGGUGCGAAAGCGUGGGUAGCGAACAGGAUUAGAUACCCUGGUAGUCCACGCCGUAAACGAUGACAACUAGACGUUGGGUCCCUUAGAGGAUUUAGUGUCGAAGCUAACGCGUUAAGUUGUCCGCCUGGGGAGUACGGUCGCAAGAUUAAAACUCAAAGGAAUUGACGGGGGCCCGCACAAGCGGUGGAGCAUGUGGUUUAAUUCGAUGCAACGCGAAGAACCUUACCAUCCCUUGACAUCCAGAGAAUCUGUUAGAGAUAGUAGAGUGCCUUCGGGAACUCUGAGACAGGUGCUGCAUGGCUGUCGUCAGCUCGUGUCGUGAGAUGUUGGGUUAAGUCCCGCAACGAGCGCAACCCUUAUCUUUAGUUGCCAGCACGUAAUGGUGGGAACUCUAAGGAGACUGCCGGUGAUAAACCGGAGGAAGGUGGGGAUGACGUCAAGUCAUCAUGGCCCCUUAUGGGCUGGGCUACACACGUGCUACAAUGGUCGGUACAGUGAGACGCGAUACCGCCGAGGUGGAGCAAAAUCCUAUAAAACCCUGGUC
Molecule: ribosomal RNA, 966 nt
Filed under: uncultured Gammaproteobacteria bacterium
Lineage: Bacteria; Pseudomonadati; Pseudomonadota; Gammaproteobacteria
Description: bacterial SSU rRNA
Rfam family: Bacterial small subunit ribosomal RNA
Source: RNAcentral